AAAGCGGGAGCAAUCUCGCAAGUACAGUGGCGUACGGGUGAGUAACACGUGGAUCAUCUGCCCUGGAGUGGGGAAUAACGCUGGGAAACCGGCGCUAAUACCGCAUAUUCCCGAGAGGGGAAAGCAGCAAUGCGCUCGAGGAGGAGUCCGCGGCCGAUUAGCUAGUUGGCAGGGUAAAAGCCUACCAAGGCUGUGAUCGGUAGCCGGCCUGAGAGGGCACACGGCCACACUGGCACUGAAACACGGGCCAGACUCCUACGGGAGGCAGCAGUGGGGAAUCUUGCACAAUGGGGGAAACCCUGAUGCAGCGACGCCGCGUGAGCGAUGAAGCCCUUCGGGGUGUAAAGCUCUUUCGGCAGGGAAGAUUAUGACGGUACCUGCAGAAGCAGCUGCGGCUAACUACGUGCCAGCAGCCGCGGUAAUACGUAGGCAGCAAGCGUUGUUCGGAGUUACUGGGCGUAAAGGGUGUGUAGGCGGCCUGUUAAGUUCCGUGUGAAAUCUCCCGGCUCAACCGGGAGGGUGCGCGGAAUACUGACGGGCUAGAGUGCGGGAUGGGAGAGUAGCAUUCCUGGUGUAGCGGUGAAAUGCGUAGAUAUCAGGAGGAAUACCGGUGGUUGUAGACGGCUCUCUGGACCGCAACUGACGCUGAAACACGAAAGCGUGGGUAGCAAACAGGAUUAGAUACCCUGGUAGUCCACGCCCUAAACGAUGCAUAUUUGGUGUAGGUCAUUCAGUUGAUCUGUGCCGGUGCUAACGCGUUAAAUAUGCCGCCUGGGGAGUACAGUCGCAAGGCUGAAACUCAAAGGAAUUGAC
RNAcentral lists this ribosomal RNA (813 nucleotides) under uncultured Actinomycetes bacterium. RNAcentral describes it as "bacterial SSU rRNA". It matches the Rfam family "Bacterial small subunit ribosomal RNA", at positions 70 to 914 of the family's 1533-position model. The record is from RNAcentral. Lineage: Bacteria; Bacillati; Actinomycetota; Actinomycetes.